AAGGGUGGUGUAGGCGGACAUUUAAGUCAGAGGUGAAAUCCCGGGGCUCAACCCCGGAACUGCCCCUGAUACUAUUUGUCUUGAAUACUGAUGAGGUGGGCGGAACGGGUCAUGUAGCGGUGAAAUGCUUAGAGAUGACCCGGAACACCGAUUGCGAAGGCAGCUCACUGGGCAGUUAUUGACGCUGAGGCACGAAAGCGUGGGGAUCAAACAGGAUUAGAUACCCGAGU
This 230-nucleotide ribosomal RNA is filed under the name uncultured bacterium. RNAcentral describes it as "partial 16S ribosomal RNA". It matches the Rfam family "Bacterial small subunit ribosomal RNA", at positions 563 to 791 of the family's 1533-position model. The record is from RNAcentral.